GCCUGGGUGGCUCAGUGGUUGAGCAUCUGCCUUCAGCUCAGGUCGUGAACCUGGGGUCCUGGGAUCAAGUCCCACAUCAGGCU
RNAcentral lists this transfer RNA (83 nucleotides) under Canis lupus familiaris (dog). It matches the Rfam family "tRNA". Rfam says of the family: Transfer RNA (tRNA) molecules are approximately 80 nucleotides in length. Their secondary structure includes four short double-helical elements and three loops (D, anti-codon, and T loops). RNAcentral also lists the same sequence under 1 other name. Lineage: Eukaryota; Metazoa; Chordata; Mammalia; Carnivora; Canidae. The record is from Rfam by way of RNAcentral.